UUUAAAUGCAUCUAUAAGUUUUCGCAUUCAAUUUUUACCGUCCGUCUUAUUUGUAAUUUUUUUAUAAUUACUAUUUUUUUUGUUGUUAUGAGAUGAUAAAAUAUAAAUAAUAAUUUACUCGUAACUCAUGUUUUUAAAUUUUUUAAAAUUUUUAAAUAAGACGGACGAUCAAAUUGGACGUGAAAAACCAUGGUUACGUAUACU
This is a non-coding RNA of Oryza nivara, 204 nucleotides long. The record is from Rfam. NCBI's taxonomy places the organism in Eukaryota, Viridiplantae, Streptophyta, Magnoliopsida, Poales, Poaceae.